This 221-nucleotide long non-coding RNA is filed under the name Elaeis guineensis (African oil palm). RNAcentral's name for it is "long non-coding RNA (EGUI_LNC049054)". The record is from RNAcentral. Lineage: Eukaryota; Viridiplantae; Streptophyta; Magnoliopsida; Arecales; Arecaceae.
UCAACCCUGAUUAGAUCAUCCGAGUCGUGCUCAACUCAAACAGUCCUGUGACUCCUCACUAGGACUACCUUGGCCAAGGUUUUGCUAAAUUGAAAUACGACUGUACACAGCUCCUGAACUAGAGUGGUCAAUCCCAUCUUGACACACGCACCGACAAGUCAAGUACUUGACUACACCCAGCAACCUUCCGUCACUGAAUUAGAAAUUCAGGUAGUCCAGUG